RNAcentral lists this ribosomal RNA (944 nucleotides) under uncultured bacterium. Its description in RNAcentral is "bacterial SSU rRNA". It matches the Rfam family "Bacterial small subunit ribosomal RNA", at positions 539 to 1482 of the family's 1533-position model. The record is from RNAcentral.
CGUUAAUCGGAAUUACUGGGCGUAAAGCGAGCGUAGGUGGCUUGAUAAGUCAGAUGUGAAAUCCCCGGGCUUAACCUGGGAACUGCAUCUGAUACUGUUAGGCUAGAAUAGGUGAGAGGAAGGUAGAAUUCCAGGUGUAGCGGUGAAAUGCGUAGAGAUCUGGAGGAAUACCGAUGGCGAAGGCAGCCUUCUGGCAUCAUAUUGACACUGAGGUUCGAAAGCGUGGGUAGCAAACAGGAUUAGAUACCCUGGUAGUCCACGCCGUAAACGAUGUCUACUAGUCGUUGGGUCCCUUGAGGACUUAGUGACGCAGCUAACGCAAUAAGUAGACCGCCUGGGGAGUACGGCCGCAAGGUUAAAACUCAAAUGAAUUGACGGGGGCCCGCACAAGCGGUGGAGCAUGUGGUUUAAUUCGAUGCAACGCAAAGAACCUUACCUGGUCUUGACAUAUCUAGAAUCCUGCAGAGAUGCGGGAGUGCCUUCGGGAAUUAGAAUACAGGUGCUGCAUGGCUGUCGUCAGCUCGUGUCGUGAGAUGUUGGGUUAAGUCCCGCAACGAGCGCAGCCCUUGUCCUUAGUUACCAGCGGGUUAAGCCGGGAACUCUAAGGAUACUGCCAGUGACAAACUGGAGGAAGGCGGGGACGACGUCAAGUCAUCAUGGCCCUUACGACCAGGGCUACACACGUGCUACAAUGGUAGGUACAGAGGGCAGCUACACAGCGAUGUGAUGCGAAUCUCAAAAAGCCCAUCGUAGUCCAGAUUGGAGUCUGCAACUCGACUCCAUGAAGUAGGAAUCGCUAGUAAUCGCGGAUCAGAAUGCCGCGGUGAAUACGUUCCCGGGCCUUGUACACACCGCCCGUCACACCAUGGGAGUUGAUUGCCCCAGAAGUGGAUAGCCUAACCGUAAGGAAGGCGUUCACCACGGUGUGGUUGAUGACUGGGGUG